Molecule: transfer RNA, 67 nt
Filed under: Amazonina sp. Z256E
Lineage: Eukaryota; Metazoa; Arthropoda; Insecta; Blattodea; Pseudophyllodromiidae
Description: tRNA-Ser
Source: RNAcentral
GAAAUAUGAAGACCAAAUGAAAGCCGCUAACUUAUCAUUUUAACGGUUCAAUCCCGUUUAUAUUUCU